This 26-nucleotide non-coding RNA is filed under the name Homo sapiens (human). The record is from RNAcentral. Lineage: Eukaryota; Metazoa; Chordata; Mammalia; Primates; Hominidae.
UAACCAGCUGGGUGGAUGGUGGUUCC